CUAGUAGGCGGCCGAUUAAGUCCGACGUGAAAUCCCCAGGCUUAACCUGGGAACUGCGUCGGAUACUGAUUGGCUUGAAUCCGGGAGAGGGAUGCGGAAUUCCAGGUGUAGCGGUGAAAUGCGUAGAUAUCUGAGGAACACCGGUGGCGAAGGCGGCAUCCUGGACCGGCAUUGACGCUGAUCAGCGAAAGCCAGGGGAGCAAACG
This 206-nucleotide ribosomal RNA is filed under the name uncultured bacterium. Its description in RNAcentral is "partial 16S ribosomal RNA". It matches the Rfam family "Bacterial small subunit ribosomal RNA", at positions 568 to 774 of the family's 1533-position model. The record is from RNAcentral.